UACGUAGGGUGCGAGCGUUAAUCGGAAUUACUGGGCGUAAAGCGUGCGCAGGCGGUUUUGUAAGCCAGAUGUGAAAUCCCCGGGCUUAACCUGGGAACUGCAUUUGUGACUGCAUGGCUAGAGUUUGUCAGAGGGGGGUAGAAUUCCACGUGUAGCAGUGAAAUGCGUAGAGAUGUGGAAGAACACCGAUGGCGAAGGCAGCCCCCUGGGAUGUGACUGACGCUCAUGUACGAAAGCGUGGGGAGCAAACAGG
RNAcentral lists this ribosomal RNA (253 nucleotides) under uncultured bacterium. Its description in RNAcentral is "partial 16S ribosomal RNA". It matches the Rfam family "Bacterial small subunit ribosomal RNA", at positions 524 to 776 of the family's 1533-position model. The record is from RNAcentral.